CUCCAGGUGAUCCUGCCGGACCCGACUGCUAUCAGAGUGGGACUAAGCCAUGCGAGUCAACAUAGCAAUAUGUGGCAUACGGCUCAGUAACACGUAGUCAACAUGCCCAGGGGACGUGGAUAACCUCGGGAAACUGAGGAUAAACCGCGAUAGGUCAUCACUUCUGGAAUGGGUAAUGACUUAAAUCUAUAUGGCCCCUGGAUUGGACUGCGGCCGAUCAGGCUGUUGGUGAGGUAAUGGCCCACCAAACCUGUAACCGGUACGGGCUCUGAGAGGAGGAGCCCGGAGAUGGGCACUGAGACAAGGGCCCAGGCCCUAUGGGGCGCAGCAGGCGCGAAACCUCUGCAAUAGGCGAAAGCUUGACAGGGUUACUCUGAGUGAUUUCCGUUAAGGAGAUCUUUUGGCACCUCUAAAAAUGGUGCAGAAUAAGGGGUGGGCAAGUCUGGUGUCAGCCGCCGCGGUAAUACCAGCACCCCGAGUGGUCGGGACGUUUAUUGGGCCUAAAGCAUCCGUAGCCGGUUCUACAAGUCUUCCGUUAAAUCCACCUGCUUAACAGAUGGGCUGCGGAAGAUACUAUAGAGCUAGGAGGCGGGAGAGGCAAGCGGUACUCGAUGGGUAGGGGUAAAAUCCGUUGAUCCAUUGAAGACCACCAGUGGCGAAGGCGGCUUGCCAGAACGCGCUCGACGGUGAGGGAUGAAAGCUGGGGGAGCAAACCGGAUUAGAUACCCGGGUAGUCCCAGCUGUAAACGAUGCAGACUCGGUGAUGAGUUGGCUUAUUGCUAACUCAGUGCCGCAGGGAAGCCGUUAAGUUUGCCGCCUGGGGAGUACGGUCGCAAGACUGAAACUUAAAGGAUUGGCGGGGGAGCA
RNAcentral lists this ribosomal RNA (867 nucleotides) under uncultured archaeon. RNAcentral describes it as "bacterial SSU rRNA". It matches the Rfam family "Archaeal small subunit ribosomal RNA", at positions 1 to 878 of the family's 1478-position model. The record is from RNAcentral.